RNAcentral lists this ribosomal RNA (323 nucleotides) under uncultured Chloroflexota bacterium. Its description in RNAcentral is "bacterial SSU rRNA". It matches the Rfam family "Bacterial small subunit ribosomal RNA", at positions 28 to 351 of the family's 1533-position model. Lineage: Bacteria; Bacillati; Chloroflexota. The record is from RNAcentral.
GAUGAACGCUGGCGGCGUGCCUAAUACAUGUAAGUCGAACGGAGUAUUUAGCAAUAGAUACUUAGUGGCGAACGGGUGAGUAACGCGUUGGUGACCUGCCCCGAAGAGAGGGAUAACAAUCCGAAAGGAUUGCUAAUACCUCAUGUGGUCAUUAGGGUUAGAGGCCUGAUGACUAAACGGAUUUAUUCGCUUUGGGAGGGGCCUGCGUCCCAUCAGCUCGUUGGUAGGGUAAUGGCCUACCAAGGCUAUGACGGGUAGGGGACCUGAGAGGGUGACCCCCCACAAUGGAACUGAAACACGGUCCAUACACCUACGGGAGGCAG